RNAcentral lists this non-coding RNA (22 nucleotides) under Arabidopsis thaliana (thale cress). The record is from RNAcentral. Lineage: Eukaryota; Viridiplantae; Streptophyta; Magnoliopsida; Brassicales; Brassicaceae.
AUAGGAAUGGCCUCUAGUAGAA